GCCGGUGUGAUGGAAUUGGCAGACGUGCCGGACUCAAAAUCCGGUGGUGGAGACACCGUACCGGUUCGACCCCGGUCACCGGCACCA
This 87-nucleotide transfer RNA is filed under the name Ruminococcus sp. RNAcentral describes it as "tRNA-Leu". It matches the Rfam family "tRNA". Rfam says of the family: Transfer RNA (tRNA) molecules are approximately 80 nucleotides in length. Their secondary structure includes four short double-helical elements and three loops (D, anti-codon, and T loops). The record is from RNAcentral. Lineage: Bacteria; Bacillati; Bacillota; Clostridia; Eubacteriales; Oscillospiraceae.